Molecule: long non-coding RNA, 2862 nt
Filed under: Homo sapiens (human)
Lineage: Eukaryota; Metazoa; Chordata; Mammalia; Primates; Hominidae
Description: HSALNT0073030
Source: RNAcentral
CUUUCAUACUCAACCACAUGUUUUUGAUGGCAAUGGUAGCUGGUCUGGAACAGCCACUGCAAAGACGCCAGCUGCAGGGGAGGAAGUGCGGCCCGGGUGACACACUCCUCAGGGCGGUAGGAACUGGGAACAGGCAGGAGCCCAUCCCCCUACAGAGCUGGCAGAGUGGGAGCCCUGUGGUCUUGGGCGCAGCUACAGCUGCCCAGCUGUAGCUUCAGAUCCGAGCAUCCCUGUAUUGUCAGGGGCCCAGGAAGCUCCUUGCCACCGCAGGCUUGAAAGUUCCUGCUCCCAUUGCCUGACCUCACCCCACUCCUGGCGCCCACUCUGGUGAGGAUCAAAGUUGUGGCAAAGCCUGGGUGCUGUUGCAACCAGACCGGGUGUGUGUGCGCACGCUCAGGGUGACACUGAAAUGCCAGCCUUCUGCCACCUCAGCCCCCUCUGGACUUCGGGCACCGACGAACAUGGGAUGGAGGCUGAGGAGGGGCUGAAGUCAGCUUGGCAAAGGCCACUGCUUGGUAAGAACAGCCUGGGCACUGUGGACUGCAUGUUGAUGGCGGGAGGCAAACAGGUUCCUGGGUGGAAAGGGAUUAGUCCCACGUGAAGCCCCACCUUCAAGGUAGAGACGGCCUGAAGCCUGGUGGCCGGGCUGUCAGAUCCAGGUGGAGUGGGAACUCAUGGUGCUUUUUACCAGCCUGCCCAUGGCUGCCCAUGGAUGAAUCAGCACGUACUUUCUCCCUUCUGAGACCGUAAAAUCCCCGAAACCAGCCAAACUCACAUAGACAUCAGGAUGACUUGCCUGUGGAAAGGAGCUACCCAUUCUGGUUCUCCGCUCCACUGAGAGCUGCACUCAUCACGACAACUUGCAUGUGAGCGGAACCACCCACUACGGGUCUCCUCUCUGCUGAGGUGGACACUCAUUGGGACAACCCGCCUGCGGAAAGGAGCUGUCCACUUCCGGUCCUCUGCAGCCGUUCUGUCAAUGAAGCUCCUCUCUGCCUUGCUCACCCUCCACUUGUCCGUGUACCUCAUUCUUGUCGUGGAACAAGACCCUGGGACCCAGUGAAUGGUGGGACUGAAAGAGCGGUAACACAAACAGGGCUGAAACAUGCCCACCGCUCGCCACUUUGUGGGCGACGAGGAGAAACGAACUGCUGUGGCCCUUCAGGAAUCCCAGACCUAGAGACUCCUGAGCCAGGGCUGUGACACCCUCUUUGGGGCUCCGCAGUUUCUGGUGUCUCCAAGCUUCCGGGUGCCAUCGUAUUUCCCAGUGCCUGCAGUGGAAGCCAUUUGUGGUAACGCCUGGUCCAGCCAGUCUCACACGGAACCCACGCCUGUGCUGGCGCCUGGAGCUGCCUGCCCAGUGGCAGCAAGCACGCAUGGCUGUGUGCAGUGGCCAGACCCCAUGCUUAUUAACACACCCCUUGCUACUCCUCACCAGGCUCGCCCUUGGCAGGUGUGGGAUCCAGGUCAGUAUUAUGAGCCAAAUACAGCCUGCUGGGGCGAGUGAGCAGAAGAGGCCAGCGGGCCCGUGUAAAACUCAGGCAAAGGCACCACCAGCCGCAGAGGUUUCCAACUGAAAAAGUGACACGGUUUGAUCUUCGCAGUGGCCUGUGGCUAAGACUGAUAUUAAAGGAAGAAUUAAAAUCCUGAAUCAAUCAUGAACUUUAAAGUUAAGAUGAAUUCAAGGAUAUCAAACUUGACUGCAUAAGAGAGUAUCAUGUUUGGAGAGAAGAAAUAAUUUUAUUGCGAGACACAAAGUGGUGUCUGUCACUUAAAUCCUUCACCAAUCUACCUCCUGUACUCGUGGAAAAAAAGGAAUCAGGAAGAGAGCAGCAGAAACCCAGGGGUUACCUGAGGAUAAUUUAGGUCUUUAUUAUGUACAUUCUCAGCUCACCACUGUGCAGAAUUGGUAUGGAAAUCAAUUCAGAUAAGGAACAUACAACUCUGGAGAACUGACUAAAUGUUGUUUUACUAAGAAAAAUGUGAUCACAUCACUUUUCUACCUAAAUUUCUUCAAAAUUUCUACAAAGCUCUGAGAAUAAAACUCUCUCAGCAUAGCUAGCAAGACGAUGCAUGAUCUUCCUAGCUACCUACUAGGCCGUCCUUAUCUCAAACCUCUGCCCCUUAAGCUCCAUCUGAGAAUACCAGUCUUCUUUUAGUCUCUCUUGUAUGUUAUUUGUCUUAUCUUUUGCUGCUUUCAGAACUUUUUCUUUGUCCUAAUUUUUUUAUAGUUUGAUUACUUUGUGCUGUGGCUAAUUCCAAAAAAGGUUAAAUUUGAUUGGAGAACUCUGGCCUUCCUAUAUCUGGAUAUUGGCAUCUUUUCCCAGAUUUGGGAAGUUUUCAACCAUUAUUUAUUUAAAUUUGCCUUUUCCUUCUGAAAUUCUUAUACAAAAAUUAAGUCUCCUAAUAGUGUCCCAUAUUAUCAAAAGCUUUCUUUGUUCUUUUUAUUUUUUUUCCUUUUGAUUCUUCUGACUGGAUAAUUUCAUAUGUUCUGUCUUCCAGCUGAUACUUCUGCUCGAUUGAGCUUGUCAAUGAAGCUUUCUCUUGCAUGUUUUUAGUUCAAUCAUUUCAAUCUUCAUCUCUAGAAUUUCUAUUUGUGUUUUUUUAAUUGUUUCUAUUUCUUUGUUGAAUUUCUCAUUUGUGCAUGUAUUGUAUUCCAAAGCGCACUUAAUUUUUUUUCCAUAUGUUUUUGUAGUUCACUAAACUUCAGGAGGAUUAUUCUGAAUUCUUUGUUAUUUUGGAGAGUUUCAUUACUUCAGGGUCAGUCACUGGACUUUUGCUAUAUUCUUUUGGAGGUGUCGUGAUUUCUUCAGUUUUUAUACUCCUGUUUCCUUGUGUUGGUGUCUGCAUAUUUGAGGAAAC